GGCGAGUUGGCAGAGCGGUGAUGCAAAUGAUUGCAAAUCAUUACCAGGCCGGUUCGACUCCGGUGCUCGCCUCCA
RNAcentral lists this transfer RNA (75 nucleotides) under Marinobacterium sp. LSUCC0821. RNAcentral describes it as "tRNA-Cys". It matches the Rfam family "tRNA". From Rfam's summary of the family: Transfer RNA (tRNA) molecules are approximately 80 nucleotides in length. Their secondary structure includes four short double-helical elements and three loops (D, anti-codon, and T loops). The record is from RNAcentral. Lineage: Bacteria; Pseudomonadati; Pseudomonadota; Gammaproteobacteria; Oceanospirillales; Oceanospirillaceae.